This is a long non-coding RNA of Talpa occidentalis (Iberian mole), 1483 nucleotides long. RefSeq lists it as uncharacterized. The transcript has 3 exons. Lineage: Eukaryota; Metazoa; Chordata; Mammalia; Eulipotyphla; Talpidae. The record is from RefSeq and is a predicted model, not a curated record.
GCGUGACCGUGUGUGGGCGGAGAGAGCCCUUGUCCCGGGGAAGGCGAAGCUUCCCGGUCGGACUCUUCCCAGACAAAGGCCGGCAGAGGCGGGCGUUUCAGCGUUUCCAGGCCCUCCUGCCGGCGGGUGUUGGCAGCAGCCCCGAGGGGAGAGUGUGAAGAUGACGUGGUUUCUUGAGAUGCCAGAGCCCGAGAAGCCAGAGCCGAGGAGGAGAGUCCCGCGGUUGCUCAGCUGCCUAGAGGAGCGUGCUCCGGGCACCUGGUUUCAAUCUGUCUUUUCACAGGAAUGAUUGCCACUUGGAGAUGUGGCCACAGUGUUCGCCCAGGAGGAGUGCAGGUCCAGCAUUAGGUCCAGCUGGAAUCGUUCAGGGAUAUGAUGCCUGAAAACUGCAGACACUGGUCCCCUGGUGAGGACGCCUUCCCUCCAGAUUUCCUAAUCCACCCUUAUGUUUUCUUUCCUUGCUGUGUAGAGGUCUCAGACCCCUACUUAAAUUGAACAAGUGAGGGUUAGUUGUUGAAGAAAAACAAGUCUUCAUGGUGAUUCAUCCUGAACUUAACCUCCUUCUUUCUCCAGGUGAUCUGCAUCCUUCACUCUGCAUUACUGGUAAUUUCUAGAAAUUCAGUGGGGGAAAAAGCUUUGUUUUGCACAAUUUAAAAUCCAGUUUUGACCCCAUUCUUAAUCCUCAGAGUGACUUGGAAGUGGUAUCUGAUAAGCUAAUUUGGUUGCAUGGUCUGAAAGUUUAAUUUUGUUUUAUUUAGUUUGUUUCGCUUCUCAGUGUACCUACCACAUGUAAGUGAAAUCAUGCAUUUGUUUUUCUCUGUCUGAAUUAUUUCAUUAAGCGUAAUGCCCUGUAGAUCCAUCUAGCUAUUACAGAUUGUAGGAUUUUGUCUUGGUAAUAGUUGAAUGGUAGUAUGCUGGAUACAUGUACUUUUUUAAAAAAAAGAUUUAUGUAUUUAUGUAUACAAGAGAUGGGGUACAGGCCAGAGAUGUGGGGGGCUUGAGAGGAUCCACUAGAGACAAAGUGGGGGACAGAACAGGCAGAGUGACUGAAACACAGUGCCGACGGGAGCAGCGGGCGAGAAAGGAAAUGUCUGCUUCACCAUAUGAUUUCUCCCAGCUGGCCGGGGAUCGAACUCCUGCUGCAGAGGCUGUGGAUUGCUUCAUAUGUGGUGCCCAACCCCUGGCGCCACCAGGGAGGCCUGGGUACAUGUACUUUUUACACAAUAAUUGCUCAGUAACAGCUAGGUUGUUUCCAGCUCUUGGCUGUUGUAAAUAUGGGGUUGCACAUGUCUCUUUGAAUUUGUAUUAAUGUGUUCAUUGGGUAAAUAUCCAAAACUGGAAUAGCUGAAUUAUAUGGAAUUGUUUUAAUUUUUUCAAUUUAAUGUAUUUUUAUCGAAUUACCAUUAUUUUGCAUUUGUAAUCUUUUUUUCCCCACAAUACACGAUUUCUCCCCUCAGGUGUGGUCACCAUAACUGUCCCACCA